UUAUUACUGAAAUACAACCUUUUUUGUUUCAAACAGUUCAUUGAACAAUAAUAAAUGAAGUACCUGAAGCUGACAAGGAAGUAAAUGUAUAAUAAUUAGCAAAGAUGAUUAAUUUAGCGCUGUAAACGCGUGUGUGAGGGGCGGAGACGCUCCACGGGUCAGACCGAGUGAGGACCAAACACAGCAGAACGGUAGGAAACUUCACUCCUCUUAUUAUUUCUCUUUUACUAUAGCGAUUUAUUUUUAGAUACGUGAAAUGAGUCUUUCAUAGAAUUGUAGAGUUAUUAGAGAAAUAGAGUUAUUUUUUACAUUCUUUGGUCGAAGUUUUCAGAUCGGGACUUCGGAGCCUGUUCGAGACUCGGUUGAUUCAGAUCGGCACUUCACAGCAUAUUCGCGACUCGGUAGAUUCGGCACUUCGGAGCCUGCUCGCGACUCGGUUGAUUCAGAUCGGCACUUCGGAGCCUGUUCGCGACUCGGUUGAUUUCAGAUCGGGACUUCGGAGCAUGUUCGCGCCCUCGGUUGAUUCAGAUCGGCACUUCGGAGCAUGUUCGCGACUCGGUUGAUUCAGAUCGGCACUUCGGAGCACGUUCGCGACUCGGUUGAUUUCAGAUCGGGACUUCGGAGCAUGUUCGCGCCCUCGGUUGAUUCAGAUCGGCAAUUCGGAGCAUGUUCGCGCCCUCGGUUGAUUUCAGAUCGGGACUUCGGAGCAUGUUCGCGCCCUCGGUUGAUUCAGAUCGGCACUUCGGAGCAUGUUCGCAACUCGGUUGAUUGCAGAUCGGCACUUCGGAGCAUGUUCGCGCCCUCGGUUGAUUCAGAUCGGCACUUCGGAGCAUGUUCACGACACGGUUGAUUCAGAUCGGCACUUCGGAGCAUGUUCGCGCUCUCGGUUGAUUCAGAUCGGCACUUCGGAGCAUGUUCGCGCUCUCGGUUGAUUCAGAUCGGCACUUCGGAGCAUGUUCGCGGCCUUGGUUGAUUGAGAUCUGCACUGCACAGAGGAGCGUUCAAAGUUACGAGACAUAGACUAAAGUAAGAUUCCCAUUGAAAUGCUCUCCGACAGCAAAUGCAAUGAGUUUGCAUCCUUCUUUUCUGAGAAGAUCAUCAAUAUCAGGAAGGCGAUUAGCACAUCCUCAAGUAAUGCAGUUAGAAAUACCAAGGGUUCACACAAAACAAGGGGGAAUCUGCUUUUAGUUUCUAUGCCGCUCGCAGUUGGAAUCAGCUUCCAGAAGAGAUCAGAUGUAAAACACUAGUCACAUUUACAUCUGGACUUAAAACUCAUCUGUUUAGCUGUGCAUUUAUUGAAUGAGCACUGUGCAAUGUCCGAACUGAUUGCACUAUAUUUUCACUGUUUUUUUUUAUGUAAAAUAAUUUUGUAACUGUUUUAAAUUAAUUUUAAUUAAGUAAAUGUUUUAAUCAUUAUAAAAGUUUUAAAAUUGCUCGUUUUAUUUUUGUUAUAAUUUUUCUUUAUGAUUAUUUUACUUUAUUUUAUGUAAAGCACUUUGAAUUACCAUUGUGUAUGAAAUAUAAAUAAACUUUCCUUGCCUAGUGUGUUAGUGGGCUUAUAUAUAUAUAUAAACACACACACACACAUACACACACUACCGGUCAGAGUUUGGGAUCAGAAUGAUUUUUAAUGUUUUUUUACAGGAAUUUAUUUUACUCAUCAAGACAGCAUUUAUUUGAUCAAAAAUACUGGAAAACAUGUAAUAUUGUGAAAUAUUAUUAACAUUUUUGUAUUUUAAU
Molecule: long non-coding RNA, 1740 nt
Organism: Carassius auratus (goldfish)
Lineage: Eukaryota; Metazoa; Chordata; Actinopteri; Cypriniformes; Cyprinidae
Source: Ensembl